GAUGAAGAACGUAGUGAAAUGCGAUAAGUAGUGUGAAUUGCAGAAUUCAGUGAAUCAUCGAAUCUUUGAACACACAUUGCGCCCUUUGGUAUUCCAAAGGGCAUGCCUGUUCGAGCGUCAUUUGUACCCUCAAGCUUUGCUUGGUGUUGGGCGUCUUGUCUCUAGCUUUGCUGGAGACUCGCCUUAAAGUAAUUGGCAGCCGGCCUACUGGUUUCGGAGCGCAGCACAAGUCGCACUCUCUAUCAGCAAAGGUCUAGCAUCCAUUAAGCCUUUUUUUCAACUUUUGACCUCGGAUCAGGUAGGGAUACCCGCUGAACUUAAGCAUAUCAAUAAGCGGAGGA
RNAcentral lists this unclassified non-coding RNA (341 nucleotides) under soil metagenome. Its description in RNAcentral is "partial contains 5.8S ribosomal RNA, internal transcribed spacer 2, and large subunit ribosomal RNA". The stretch from base 1 to 120 matches the Rfam family "5.8S ribosomal RNA", at positions 35 to 154 of the family's 154-position model. The record is from RNAcentral.